RNAcentral lists this ribosomal RNA (253 nucleotides) under uncultured bacterium. RNAcentral describes it as "partial 16S ribosomal RNA". It matches the Rfam family "Bacterial small subunit ribosomal RNA", at positions 524 to 776 of the family's 1533-position model. The record is from RNAcentral.
UACGGGGGGGGCAAGCGUUGUUCGGAAUUACUGGGCGUAAAGGGCGCGUAGGCGGCCUACUAAGUCAGACGUGAAAUCCCCCGGCUUAACCUGGGAACUGCGUCUGAUACUGGAAGGCUUGAGGAUGGGAGAGGGAUGUAGAAUUCCAGGUGUAGCGGUGAAAUGCGUAGAUAUCUGGAGGAAUACCGGUGGCGAAGGCGGCAUCCUGGACCAUUACUGACGCUGAGGCGCGAAAGCUAGGGGAGCAAACGGG